AUGAGCUCCAUGAAGAUCGAGUAUGAAACUCCAAAGCCACUAAAAGGUAUCUUUGUUCCCGCUUCGGUGGAACUUUGGGAUUACCAACCGACGCUCAUAUCUCCGGCGAGCAUCUUCCGCGGCGCUAAGUUCCCCGGCCGUCGUGAAAGCUUUACGCUCGACAAUGAGUUGGAAGAGGUGCUGCUCGAGGUGACGCGGAAGGUGAUUGUAGAUCAGGCAAUGCAAUUGCUUUCCAUGGCGGGAGCUCCCCUGCCCGCCGAAGUGACGCACACUGACGCGGGCAGACACCAAGCAGACCAAGAGGAGAAGACAGACGCAAAGGACACAAAAUGA
This 333-nucleotide ribosomal RNA is filed under the name Triticum aestivum (bread wheat). RNAcentral's name for it is "partial small subunit ribosomal RNA". The record is from RNAcentral. Lineage: Eukaryota; Viridiplantae; Streptophyta; Magnoliopsida; Poales; Poaceae.